RNAcentral lists this transfer RNA (90 nucleotides) under Synechococcus sp. CC9902. RNAcentral describes it as "tRNA-Ser". Lineage: Bacteria; Bacillati; Cyanobacteriota; Cyanophyceae; Synechococcales; Synechococcaceae. The record is from RNAcentral.
CGGGCCAACUCACCGAUUGGAUUGAAAAGGUGCAUGGGCCCACAACGCUGAUCGUCAGCGACCACCGCCCUGUGCCUCUGCAAUUCAGCU